GCGUGCGGGAAGAAGGCCUUCGGGUUGUAAACCGCUUUUGUCAGGGAAGAAACGCUUCGGGCUAAUACCUCGGAGUAAUGACGGUACCUGAAGAAUAAGCACCGGCUAACUACGUGCCAGCAGCCGCGGUAAUACGUAGGGUGCGAGCGUUAAUCGGAAUUACUGGGCGUAAAGCGUGCGCAGGCGGCCAUGCAAGACAGAUGUGAAAUCCCCGGGCUUAACCUGGGAACCGCAUUUGUGACUGCAUGGCUCGAGUGUGGCAGAGGGGGAUGGAAUUCCGCGUGUAGCAGUGAAAUGCGU
RNAcentral lists this ribosomal RNA (300 nucleotides) under uncultured bacterium. RNAcentral describes it as "bacterial SSU rRNA". It matches the Rfam family "Bacterial small subunit ribosomal RNA", at positions 399 to 691 of the family's 1533-position model. The record is from RNAcentral.